RNAcentral lists this ribosomal RNA (430 nucleotides) under uncultured Sphingobacteriales bacterium. Its description in RNAcentral is "bacterial SSU rRNA". It matches the Rfam family "Bacterial small subunit ribosomal RNA", at positions 952 to 1382 of the family's 1533-position model. Lineage: Bacteria; Pseudomonadati; Bacteroidota; Sphingobacteriia; Sphingobacteriales. The record is from RNAcentral.
CGAUGAUACGCGAGGAACCGUUACCUGGGCUCGAACGUAAGAUGACUGUAGUGAAAGCUUACAUCUCUUCGGAGCAUUUUACGAGGUGCUGCAUGGUUGUCGUCAGCUCGUGCCGUGAGGUGUCGGGUUAAGUCCCAUAACGAGCGCAACCCCUACCUUUAGUUGCCAUCAGGUAAUGCUGGGGACUCUAAAGGAACUGCCUACGCAAGUAGUGAGGAAGGCGGGGAUGACGUCAAAUCAGCACGGCCCUUACGUCCAGGGCUACACACGUGCUACAAUGGCCGAUACAGAGGGCAGCUACCUGGUGACAGGAUGCAAAUCUCCAAAGUCGGUCUCAGUUCGGAUCGGAGUCUGCAACCCGACUCCGUGAAGUUGGAUUCGCUAGUAAUCGCGCAUCAGCCAUGGCGCGGUGAAUACGUUCCCGGGCCUU